Dovyalis caffra is the source of this 84-nucleotide non-coding RNA. The record is from the annotation of a GenBank genome assembly. Lineage: Eukaryota; Viridiplantae; Streptophyta; Magnoliopsida; Malpighiales; Salicaceae.
GGGUCGAUGCCCGAGCGGUUAAUAUGGACGGAUUGUAAAUUCAUUGGCAAUAUGCCUACACUGGUUCGAAUCCAGCUCAACCUA